Molecule: long non-coding RNA, 7115 nt
Filed under: Gossypium raimondii (Peruvian cotton)
Lineage: Eukaryota; Viridiplantae; Streptophyta; Magnoliopsida; Malvales; Malvaceae
Description: long non-coding RNA (GRAI_LNC005987)
Source: RNAcentral
UAGCUUACUGCAGCAUGUAAGAAAACAAAGAAACAAUGGAAGCCCCAACCAAUGAUCCAAGAACAGGCAAGGUUGCGGCAGCUACGCUGGAAUCCGGUCCUGAUGCUGGGGUGGAACCAGGAGAGAAGCUAGGACUAGAACCACCGGCGGAAGGGGCAGGAGAUGGUGCACCAGCGGCCAUGACGGCGCUCAUUGAGGCAGCGGCAACAAUGAUGGCGGUGGAGAUCUUCUUCAUGUCCAUGGUGUUAUAAAAAAUGGGAUUAUUAAACGCUCCGGAAAUGAAUGAGACCUGCGUUUAAUUACUAGAGAAUGGGGAUCCGCCGGUGAUUGUUAUUAUUUGCUCUGUUAUUGCAGGUCUGAAGAAGAAUGAUGUUGGGGAGGAUCAUUUAUGGUGAAAAUUCAUGGCUAUUUUUAGUGACGAAAUUUAAAAAAAAAAAAAAAGAAAUACGUGUUUGGUUUUCGCAUGGUUUGCGGGAUAGACAUGCAAAAUUUUGAAUUUUCUUUAACGAUUUUGACUGGAUUUUUAGGCUAGGGAAUUUAAAACUAUUUUUUAAGAGAGAAGAGUACUAAAUUAGAGAACAAUAAUUAAAUAAUAUCAUCUUGUAAAUUAUUCUGAAUGGAAGUAUCAAUUUGUUGGGGAGAAGAAGCAAAUUCAUGGAGACUCAAUUAAUGGUCAAACAUCAUGCCAACUAAGGCAUUAGUCGCUCCAUUAGAUUCCUUAUAAAUAUGCUCGAUUCAAACAUCUAUGUUCGAGCGUAAAGCUCUUUUAUUCUGCAUACUAGUGCCUUGUUCAAUACGCCUUUAUAGUCAUCAUUAAUUGCUUGAAUUGCAAUUAAACAAUCACAUUCCAAAACAACAAGUUUCCACCCUUCAAACCAAAUCAGUUUAAGUCCACUAUAGAUUGCCCAAAGUUUUGCUUGUUCAAUACUACAUUUCUCAAUAUUGUGACCGUAGCCAAAUAUCCAUCUGCCAUGGCCGUCUCUAGCAAUCUCAACUGAGCAGGCAAGUCCGGUAUGAGGUUUCCUUGCACCAUUUGUGUUCAUUUUGACACAACUAACUAUUAGUGAGUGCCAGGUGCUUGGUCUGAUUCGGUUUUUAACCUUAAUCUUUGGUUCCCUAUUAUGUUUAACAUUCACAACCCCACUCCUACAACCAUACCAGAAUUACGAGGAACAUUUUCAAAAACAAAAGAAUUCCCUUGUUUCCAUACAAACCGACAUAGGAUACCGAAUAGGGUGUUCCAAUUAACAUCUUUGAAUUGUAAAUUCGGUUCAUUAGAAAGAUUGACAUUCACUCAAGAUAAAAGUGACGGAGAUAAGAACCUGGAGUAGAAUGAAUUCAGAAUGAACUGCUUCCAUACUUCUUGAGCUUAGAAUAUUUUCUUCUGCAGAUCCAAAAUGCAGCAACUAGUGUCAUCCGUCAGUCUGCGUCUGCAUCUUUCCACGUUUGAGAGGAGUCGCUCUUAUAAAAUUAGCCAUAAAAACUGUCGAACACAUUGCGAACCACCAUAGGACCAAGAAAGUUCCCAUUUAUUGUCCGAACUAUUCCAGGAAUCAUGAGAUAAGAAAGUAUAGGCUAUUUUAACAGUUAAGUCUCCAUUCAUAGACCAUUUAGAUACUAAUGAAUUCGAUCCAGCAAGUGCACGAGGGGGUAGAACACCAGCUUUUUUGUCAAAAAAAGGUUCGUCCAAAUGAUUUCUAAUAUACCUCCAAUUCCAUUCACCGUCAUUUCUAACCAAAUCUUAGAGGAUGGGAUUAUCAUCUCGAGCCAUAUUAUUCGGAUCAUGAAGUAUCAAAGGACCUACCUCAGGAAUCCAAUCAUCAACCCAAAAUUUGACUGAAUUCCCAUCUCCUAUGGACCAACAGAGGCUAUCUCGUAAGAGAGGUCAAACUUUUGCAAUGGACUUCCAUACAAAAGAGCUUAUGUUGCACGUAAUUACCAAUGGACAUACCUCCUGAAAUUUGUAUUUAUCUCUGAUCACUUGAACCCAUAAAGCAUUCUUGUUAGUACUGAAAUUAAAGCCCAACUUUAAGAGGAAAGACUCAUUUUACUGCCUUAAAUGUCGAAGACCCAGUCCUCCAUUAGCCCGAGGUUGGUAAUAGUUAUCCCAUUGCACUAAUGUUGGUUUAGAUCUUAAGGAAGAACUCCCCCAAAUAAAACUCAUUGCAAUACUAGGUAUCAAAGUUGUUUUGUAACAACCCAUUUUCAAUGGAACAAAAAAUGAUAGUUUUAAAAUUCCAUUUUCUGAGGACUAAGUCAGCAAAUAUUAUUUAAUAAUAUUUAUGAAUGGUUUAUAUUAUUAUAAUGGUUAUUAGUUCGGAAAUUUUAUUGAUUGAUUAGUAAUUAAGGUAUAGAGACUAAAUGUAAAAACUGUAAAAGUUGAAUUUAAGUGGAUUGUUUAAUUAGUUGAGUAUGAUUUAAUUAUUGGAGGAUUUGUUUGACAAUAAGCCAAUUUUGGACAUAAUGGCUUGCCAUGGAAUUAGUUUAGUUGAAAUUUUAUAUUGAUUUUUAGUUAAAAAAACAUAAAAAUUAGAAGGUUUAAAAUAAUAAAACAUGGAAAGUGCCAUCAUCUUCCUCAUUUUUCUUAUUCUCCUACGAAAACAACAUUUUUGGAGCUAGGAGAGUUCAGCCGUUUCACAACUUUCCAUGUAGGUAUAUUUGAGCUUGAUUUUUUGUAAAUUUUAUAUUUUUGUAAUCGUUGUAACUUAAAUCUAGCUAUUGUACCUCCGUUUUUAAAUAUGUUAAAGAUUUUAAAUGUCACCGUUAGAGAUAAUUGAAGCUUUUGGUUGUUAAAAUGAUGCUUUAAAAACUUAGGAAUGGAAAAAGGAUUAAAUUGUGAAACUAAUUGUUAGUUUUGAGUUUAGGGACUAAAUUAUGAAUAAUUUGAAAUUGUAAUAUUUUUUUGUAAAUUGUGAUAAUAGGAGGCUGUAUAGGGACAUAUUUGAAGUGGGUUUAAAUUUUGGAGUUCAAAUUCGGAAGAUAUGAUAAGUUUGGUUUUAGGGACUAAAUUGAUUAAAAUGCAAAACUUUAGGGGCAUUCGAAUAAUAAAAUUGAGCUGAUAUAUGUUUAUAAUAGGGUGAAAUAAGAGGAUUGAAAUUGAUAAAUUGAAUUGAAAAAUUGUAUAGCUAAAAAAUUAAACCAAAUCAGAAGUAAUCGUGGAAAAAAAGGUAAAAUUAUUGAUUAGUCCUUAGAGACUUGACCGUUUUCUAUUUGUCCAGUUAAAUUCAUAUGGUAGGAUUAUACUUAAUUUUCUAUAUAUUUGAAUUAUGAUUUUGAGUAUCUUGAUAGUAAAUUAAAUUGUUUGCAAUUUGGUGCAAAGAGGUGAGGUAUGAACUAAAUAGUAAGGAAUUGAACAAUUAAUUGGAAAUUGAAAUAAUUAAGGAAAUAACCUUAAAUUGGACUGAAAUAGGAUAUAUUAUGUGAUAAAGUGAUUAUUUGAGGAAAUGAGCUAAAUUGAUUCGAUUUAGAUCGGUUGAAAGUGAUAAUGACCGAAUUGAAUAUAUGUGAAAAUAUUAUAUAAUUUUAUAAAUGUGAAAUUGAAUCAGUAUUGUUAUAUGUUAUGCUAUCAUAUUUGAGAAUUGAUGAUCGGUUAAUGAAAUUAUGUAAUGAAAUUGAGAAAUUGUUAUUCUUAUUAAUUGUUUGGGUAGAGUCAGAUAUAGUUGGAGUGUCGAUGAGGCACUGGGUGCCAAAUUACUUCAGUUAUACCGAGUCAAACACAUUGAUGAGCACUGGGCGCAAACUAUAUAUUUACUUUGACAUUGUCUGAUAAUGCACUAGGUGUCAAAUUGGUAUGAUAGGUGGGAUUCAUAUAUCCAUUCAAGUCUGAGUCAGAUUAAUAGGGGUAUAAAAUGAAAUUUUGAUAAAUGAUAUUUAAAUUGGGUUGAUAUAAUGAUUUGAUGAUUUGUAUACAUAAUGCGAUCUAUAAAUAUCGAUGGUAUGUGAAAAAUUAUACGAAACAGUUAUAUAAACCUAGAGGGCCGAUAUAGAAAUGUAAUAAAUCAAAGAAUUCGGUUCGAAAUUCAAAUAAGGAAAUGAAAUGGUAAUUGACAUUAGAUUGAAAUUGAAUGUAUAAUAGUUAAAUAGAUGGAAUGAUCUGAUAUUAUGAGAAUGAUGUUCAUAUGGUUAAAUGUUGAUUUGGUUUUUAGUAUGGUAUUGAAAUGUGAUUCUAAGUGAUUUGGUUUAUUUCAUAUUGAAAUGUUAUAUGAUGAGGUUAAAUGUUAACUCACCUUUUUUAUUUUUGAUUUGUCAUGUUACUAAGCAUUGUAUAUGUUUACCUCAUUUGUUUUCCCUUUCCUUGUAGAUUGUCAAUUUGUAGAACACAUCAAGCGAAUCAUCCAAAGCUCACAUUAUCCUGGUAUGUGUUCGGUAGUCUUUAGACCGCAUUAAGGCCCGAUUAUGUAAGGCAUGUACUUAGGACUUGUUUUGGUUUACUUGCAAAGUGAUAUGGCUUGAAAUCUAUGUUGAUAGAAUUAUGACAAAGAUAAUGCUUAAUGGAAAACAUAUGCAUUAGUAAAUGGAUUGAAUUGUGCAUUUGACAUUUGAAAUGGCAUUUGGGUAUGCGAUUACAUAGGUAAUAUAAUGUUAUGAAAUGGUUAAAAGGCUUGGCUGAUUAGGUUGAGUUUAUAUAAGCUAAUUUGAUAUGUUAUGAUGCCAAAUUGUGGAAAUAUUGAAUUAGUUUAUUUGGAAUGGUGAUAUAUGAUGUUUUGACAAUGGUAUGAAUUAUGUGUUUAUAAUAUGUUGUGAUGUUUUUAGUGGUUAAUGAGUAAGAGAUAACAUAAUAGGUUGAUAAAGAGUAUUGAAUGAUUUUGAUACCUUGUGUGAAAAUCAUGAUGGCAGUUACAUGAUGAUGAAUAAAUAGGUCUAGUAGGUGACUUAAUUUGAAGGAUGAGUAGUAAUGGAUUGUUAUAGUUGCAUGAUAAUUGAAUUUGCACUAGUAAAAUGGAAUAAGCCUAGAUAUUGUCUAGUUGAUUUGGUUAGUAUAUGUUUUAAUGUUAGAAUAGGGAAUGAGUUGGAUGUAAUGGACCAUCAUUCACUUUUGGUUGAUGUUACGUCUAUGAUGUAGUACCCUUGAUGUUUGUGGUUAAAUUAGUAUAUUUAAAUUUAAUUUUUUAUGUUAUAUGACAGAUUUUGGAGUGCUUAUUGAUACUACUUGUAUUGGUUAAGUUCAAGCAUAGGCAUUUUUAAAAGUGGUAUUUGACAAUUCUGUGCAAAAGUACCGAUACUCUGGUAUUAAUUAUCGAUACUUGAUCAUAUGAACAAUUUUCUUAAAACAAAUAGUUUUAUGAUACCAAAUAAAGUAUCGACACCAAGCAAUCAAGUAUGGAUACUAACUCUAAUAUUUUGAAAAUUUACAAUUCAACCCUAUUCAUGCUCAAACUUCACAAUUAAACCAUUGUAUGUUCUAAUUAUGGGAAUUGGAACGCAUUCGUAUUUGUAAUUGUAUGUUUUGAAUUUUUAUACGAAUUAUUUAUCGACAGUUGCCCUAUCAAUGAAUGUGACAUCACGUUUUUCGGGUUUGACAUAAUAGGGUGUUACAUGUUUGCAUAAAAUAAUUGGGGAUUGACAUAAGAAUAGAUUGUACCAAAGUAACACGACCCGCCAUCGAAAUAAGUUUAGCAUCCCAACUAUCAAGUAAUCUAUAGACCCUAUCAAGGACAAACUUAAAGGUACUAAUAGUGACACACUGUGAAAGGCGAUAUUAGCAGGAGUAUCCUUUGAAAAGAAAAACAUUGGUCUUUUGGGCAUUAACUUUGUGAUCCGAGAAAAGUCAAAAAGUUCUAAAUUAUUUUAACAACUUUUACUUGUUCUAUAUCAGCUUCAAUAAACAGGAACAAACCAUCCGCCUCUAGGGCAUGCUUGCAAUAAAAAAUUAGUUUCCAAACCCUCUCUCCAACCAAUUUAUGAAUAUAUUGUCCCAAUCUUUCCAUACAUAGAAUAAAUAAAUAUGGAGAUAAAUGGCACCCCUACCUAAUACCUCUCAAAGGUUGGAACUCAUCCGAUAAAACACCAUUCCACAGAGUUUGCAUACAAUCUGAAGAAAUGCAUUCCAUAAUAACUUGAGAUAUUCCAUGAGGAAUGAAACGUAGUUGGUGCUAGACCAAGAGUGUUAAAAUGCAUGACGAGAGAAUCCCGCAAUUUAAAAAGGUUUCAAGAGAUGGGCGGGCAUUGGGCUCCACCUCUUGGAUCAAACUCAAUAUAGAUGGUGGCAUGGUGCUUUAAAGACAUGGGUUGGUCUUGCUUCAGUAGGAGGUGUUGUAUGUAAUUGUAGAGGCGAAUGGAUGCUAGGAUAUUUGCAUAAGCCUUGGGUAGUGUAAUGUCCUUGAUGUGGAGCUUUGAUGUCUUUUUGAUGGCUUACAGUUAAUGUGAGAAAGGGGUUCGAAAAUGUACUAGUUGAAUGUGGUAGCUUGGAAGCGAUCUCGGUUAUAUUGAGCAGUAAGUCUAAAUCUUGUGGAUCGACUCUAGUGUGGCAAAUACGCAAAUUGGUGGAACAACAUUGGGUGGUACCACUAGAAAACUUGUGGUGCAAGAAACAAAAUAAAGUAAAAUAAGAGAUUUGAGAUGUGAAUUACUUUAAAGAAAGUUUAAUUUUACCUCUAGAAUACAACAAUUUAGGAGUAACAUAAUUUGAGUUUUUAUGUAGGCACAGGAUGAUUCAAAGAUAUAUUUUUGUCAAGGGUAAAUUAUCCAGAUGGUCAUCCAACUUUUCAAAUGCUUUCAUUUUAGUUACCUCCAUUACGACAAUCUUCCAUUUUGCGUCUGACAACACGUAAGAAAACAUAAACACAAUAUUAUUCAAAGCUCCAUUUUAUUCAUUUUUUUCAAUAUUCAUCACAUGUUUCUUUCAAAAAUAAUAAAAUAAUAAAAUAUUCGUUGACAUGUUGAUUUUUCAUACAUGUAGCUUACUGCAGCAUGUAAGAAAACAAAGAAACAAUGGAAGCCCCAACCAAUGAUCCAAGAACAGGCAAGGUAGCGGCAGCCACGCUGGAAUCCGGUCCUGAUGCUGGAGCGGAACCAGGAGAGGAGCUAGGACUAGAACCACCGGCUGAAGGGGCAGGAGAUGGUGCACCGGCAGCCAUGACGACGCUCAUUGAGGCGGCAGCAACAAUGAUGGCGGU